UGGCGAGCGGCGGACGGGUGAGUAAUGCCUAGGAAUCUGCCUGGUAGUGGGGGAUAACGCUCGGAAACGGACGCUAAUACCGCAUACGUCCUACGGGAGAAAGCAGGGGACCUUCGGGCCUUGCGCUAUCAGAUGAGCCUAGGUCGGAUUAGCUAGUUGGUGAGGUAAUGGCUCACCAAGGCGACGAUCCGUAACUGGUCUGAGAGGAUGAUCAGUCACACUGGAACUGAGACACGGUCC
This 240-nucleotide ribosomal RNA is filed under the name uncultured bacterium. RNAcentral's name for it is "partial 16S ribosomal RNA". It matches the Rfam family "Bacterial small subunit ribosomal RNA", at positions 89 to 332 of the family's 1533-position model. The record is from RNAcentral.